CAACUGCAUGGCUGGGACUGAAGACUGGGAUUCUGCCUUCAUACCCUAACAGAUGCCAGGGCCCUGGAUCUGGACCAACAAACGUGACUGAAACCUUUACUGCAUUCUUGUCUGGAUGGGCAAACCAACAGUACAGGAUACAAUGAAAGAUCAAAAGGAGUUGAAGAUUGAAAGAAAGACUAUAACAAGAAGUUUUUAAGAGGAAACACCAUUUGCUUUAUUUCUUUUUAUCCUCCAUGACUUCAACAUCAUUCUCCCUUACACUGCCAGACUUAGAAUUAAGCCUGCUUGUAUCACUAAAGACAUGUUUGAGUUAUGACAUCUACUAACCUUUAGAAAACCCACUGCCUGAAGUCUGAAAAUUAUUCUCUUGUAAUGUACAACAUACAAAAUAUGUAAAUGAAAUAAAAGAAAUAUACGUAGUACAGAGCCUAC
This is a long non-coding RNA of Cygnus atratus (black swan), 435 nucleotides long. RefSeq lists it as uncharacterized. The record is from RefSeq and is a predicted model, not a curated record. The transcript is spliced from 3 exons. Lineage: Eukaryota; Metazoa; Chordata; Aves; Anseriformes; Anatidae.